CGGUACGGCCUCCAGGCCGGCUCUCAGGAGGGGCCGGGUCAGAGGGGCCUUGGCUCAAAUUGCCUUCUCUCUUCUCCCCAUCCAGAGGAGCGACUGUCCAGGGAGCAGGAGGUCGUGGAGGUGCCCGAGGGGGGCAUCGAAGACUGGCUGGAGAAGCGGGCCCAGCGGCGGAGCUCUGCCCAGAGCAGCAGUGUGCUGCCAGCCAAGCCGGCCGUCUUCCAGUACCCCCCUGGGUGGCCGCCCCUCCAGGACCUGCCGCCGUCCCUGCGGGCCCCGCCCCCGGGGGGAUGGCCCCCGCAGCCCGGCGCCCAGUGGGGCUGAGAGCGAGGCCGCCUCGUCCGCCGCGGGAGCUCCUCGGGGGUCUCACGGGGGUCGGGGAACCCCUCAUCUCCUAGAUCCCAAUAAAAGGCUCCAGCCUCAGCUUGUGCUGUUGUUCAUCGCGUCCACGCCAGGGGAGAAACGGCCUCCCGCCGUGGGUCCUGCUGGGGAGGGGGGGCUCUGGGUUCCGACCCCGGCCUCCAGGGGCGCCUGGCCCGGGGACCGCCAGAAGGUGCCACUGGGGCCUGGGCUCUGGGCACAGAGAUGCCCCUCCCGGCCUGGGGAGGAAGCCACGGGCCCCACGGAGCCGUCCCUGCCUCACCUGGGAGUCAGUGAAAGAGGGGGGGGGGGGGGGGGGGGAGGCCGGGGGCCCCGAGGGCAGGGAGGGAGGGCAGGCGCCCACAUGGGCUGGGAAGCCUAAGGGCAUCCUCUGGGGGUGGGGGGAGGGACAGGAGCGGGAAGUUCUGGGGGUAGAUGUGAGGGAACCCCAAAACUCUCAGCCACCCCCAGUGCAAGACUAGGGGUCUGUGGUGCCCUCAACUCAGGGAAAUUCUGAUUCUUUCCCAUCGCUCUUCACAACCCAGAGGAUGCUGGGACGGUUCAUGGACAUGGGGAGGGGCUGAUGGGAGCCCAGCUCGCCUCGGAGGCUCUCGUGCCCCCAGUGCCGGGAGAGAGGGUUCGUCCACAAGGCC
RNAcentral lists this long non-coding RNA (1010 nucleotides) under Sarcophilus harrisii (Tasmanian devil). Its description in RNAcentral is "lncRNA (ENSSHAG00000022162.1)". Lineage: Eukaryota; Metazoa; Chordata; Mammalia; Dasyuromorphia; Dasyuridae. The record is from RNAcentral.